Molecule: ribosomal RNA, 497 nt
Filed under: uncultured bacterium
Lineage: Bacteria
Description: partial 16S ribosomal RNA
Rfam family: Bacterial small subunit ribosomal RNA
Source: RNAcentral
GAUGAACGCUGGCGGCGUGCCUAAUACAUGCAAGUCGAGCGAACGGACUAGAAGCUUGCUUCUCUGAUGUUAGCGGCGGACGGGUGAGUAACACGUGGAUAACCUACCUAUAAGACUGGGAUAACUUCGGGAAACCGUAGCUAAUACCGGAUAAUAUUUUGAACCGCAUGGUUCAAAAGUGAAAGACGGUCUUGCUGUCACUUAUAGAUGGAUCCGCGCUGCAUUAGCUAGUUGGUAAGGUAACGGCUUACCAAGGCAACGAUGCAUAGCCGACCUGAGAGGGUGAUCGGCCACACUGGAACUGAGACACGGUCCAGACUCCUACGGGAGGCAGCAGUAGGGAAUCUUCCGCAAUGGGCAAAAUCCUGACGGAGCAACGCCGCGUGAGUGAUGAAGGUCUUCGGAUCGUAAAACUCUGUUAUUAGGGAAGAACAUAUGUGUAAGUAACUGUGCACAUCUUGACGGUACCUAAUCAGAAAGCAACGGCUAACUACGUG